RNAcentral lists this ribosomal RNA (209 nucleotides) under uncultured bacterium. RNAcentral describes it as "partial 16S ribosomal RNA". It matches the Rfam family "Bacterial small subunit ribosomal RNA", at positions 568 to 774 of the family's 1533-position model. The record is from RNAcentral.
UGCGUAGGCGGCGCGGUAAGUCGGGUGUGAAAUCUCUGAGCUUAACUCAGAACGGCCAAGUGAUACUGCAGUGCUAGAGUGCAGAAAGGGCAAUCGGAAUUCUUGGUGUAGCGGUGAAAUGCGUAGAUAUCAAGAGGAACACCUGAGGCGAAGGCGGGUCGCUAGGCUGACACUGACGCUGAGUGCGCGAAAGCCGAGGGGAGCAAACG